GGUGAACGCUGGCGGUAGGCCUAACACAUGCAAGUCGAACGGCGGCACAGUAAGAGCUUGCUCUUACGGGUGGCGAGUGGCGGACGGGUGAGGAAUACAUCGGAAUCUACUUUUUCGUGGGGGAUAACGUAGGGAAACUUACGCUAGUACCGCAUACGACCUACGGGUGAAAGCAGGGGAUCUUCGGACCUUGCGCGAUUGAAUGAGCCGAUGUCGGAUUAGCUAGUUGGCGGGGUAAAGGCCCACCAAGGCGACGAUCCGUAGCUGGUCUGAGAGGAUGAUCAGCCACACUGGAACUGAGACACGGUCCAGACUCCUACGGGAGGCAGCAGUGGGGAAUAUUGGACAAUGGGCGCAAGCCUGAUCCAGCCAUACCGCGUGGGUGAAGAAGGCCUUCGGGUUGUAAAGCCCUUUUGUUGGGAAAGAAAAGCAGCAGGUUAAUACCCCGCUGUUCUGACGGUACCCAAAGAAUAAGCACCGGCUAACUUCGUG
Molecule: ribosomal RNA, 492 nt
Filed under: uncultured bacterium
Lineage: Bacteria
Description: partial 16S ribosomal RNA
Rfam family: Bacterial small subunit ribosomal RNA
Source: RNAcentral